Molecule: ribosomal RNA, 274 nt
Filed under: uncultured bacterium
Lineage: Bacteria
Description: partial 16S ribosomal RNA
Rfam family: Bacterial small subunit ribosomal RNA
Source: RNAcentral
AUACGGAGGGUGCAAGUGUUAAUCGGAAUUACUGGGCGUAAAGGGUUCGUAGGUGGUCUAAUAAGUUAACUGUGAAAGCCCCGGGCUCAACCUGGGUAUGUCGGUUAAAACUGUUAGACUCGAGUACAGAAGAGGGUAGUGGAAUUUCAGGUGUAGCGGUGAAAUGCGUAGAGAUCUGAAGGAACACCAGUGGCGAAGGCGGCUACCUGGUCUGAUACUGACACUGAGGAACGAAAGCGUGGGGAGCAAACAGGAUUAGAAACCCUUGUAGUCC